Molecule: long non-coding RNA, 494 nt
Filed under: Vigna radiata
Lineage: Eukaryota; Viridiplantae; Streptophyta; Magnoliopsida; Fabales; Fabaceae
Description: long non-coding RNA (VRAD_LNC005029)
Source: RNAcentral
UAAAAACUCAAAAAUUGACCAGUGGUCCCUCAGGUGUGCACUGGUGGUUCCUACAGUGCAGCAGGACGUGCAAAUAUGCAACCAGACUCGGGUAAUCGUUUACAAGGCCCUGUAAACNAUUACCAUUCUGUUUUUUCCACCAAAAACUUCAGCAACUGAAAGUUAGGUGAUGAUUGAAGCAUGGGUGCUCCCCUAAUCCAUCAUGGGGUGUGAUACAAAUCAGCUACACACAUAAUCAGUAUUUGGAGUCAAAACCCAGUGGUCUUGGGCAUAAAAACUUAAAAAUUGACCAGUGGUCCCUCAGGUGUGCACUGGUGGUUCCUACAGUGCAGCAGGACGUGCAAAUAUGCAACCAGACACAGGUAAUCGUUUACAAGGCCCUGUAAACGAUUACCAUGCUGUUUUUUCCACCAAAAACUUCAGCAAUUGAAAGUUAGGUGAUGUUUGAAGCAUGGGUGCUCCCCUAAUCCAUCAUUGGGUGUGAUACAAAUCAC